UCAGUAGUGGAUGGUGUUGUCUGAAAAGGAACACUGGGAGCAUUAGGCAGUUUAGAGAGUUGCUCUAAAAGUAUGUUCCUUAUUCUCUCCAUGUCUUUAGGUGAGUUUAAGUUCUCCAUGUUGGAAGGUUCAAAGUGAAGUGUGUAAUCUGGGCCAAAGUACUCAUAAUAUUCAUUGUAAGGCAAUUUAUUAUCAGGUUCCACCCCAACUGCAACUGCUGUCUCAUAGCACCAGCAACGGGCAACAUUCCGAAUAGUAUAUCCGCCACCACCCAAGACCAUCAAAGGGACAUUAAAAGAUCUAAGAAAAUGAAGGCAAUCAGCAUGACCCUUCACAGACAAGUUGAAGCACCCCAACCUAUCACCAGAUAAUGAAUCUGCUCCACAUUGGAGAACAACCGCAUCAGGCUGAUAUAUCUCCAUGACUUUCUGGAUGAUGGGACGAA
RNAcentral lists this unclassified non-coding RNA (445 nucleotides) under Hevea brasiliensis (rubber tree). The record is from RNAcentral. Lineage: Eukaryota; Viridiplantae; Streptophyta; Magnoliopsida; Malpighiales; Euphorbiaceae.